AUUGAACGCUGGCGGCAGGCCUAACACAUGCAAGUCGAGCGAACCUAGCUUGCUAGGUGAGCGGCGAACGGGUGAGUAACGCGUAGGAAUCUGCCUGGUAGUGGGGGACAACGUUCCGAAAGGAACGCUAAUACCGCAUACGCCCUACGGGGGAAAGUGGGGGAUCUUCGGACCUCACGCUAUCAGAGGAGCCUGCGUCGGAUUAGCUAGUUGGUGGGGUAAAGGCUCACCAAGGCGACGAUCCGUAGCUGGUCUGAGAGGAUGAUCAGCCACACCGGAACUGAGACACGGUCCGGACUCCUACGGGAGGCAGCAGUGGGGGAAUAUUGGACAAUGGGGGGCAACCCUGAUCCAGCCAUGCCGCGUGUGUGAAGAAGGCCUCGGGUUGUAAAGCACUUCAGUGAGGAGGAAGGGGCGAGAUGCUAAUAUCAUCUGUCAUUGACGUUACUCACAGAAGAAGACACCGGCUAACUACUGUGCCAGCAGCCGCGGUAAU
RNAcentral lists this ribosomal RNA (496 nucleotides) under uncultured bacterium. RNAcentral describes it as "bacterial SSU rRNA". It matches the Rfam family "Bacterial small subunit ribosomal RNA", at positions 30 to 524 of the family's 1533-position model. The record is from RNAcentral.